CAGCUAGUUGGCGGGGUAAUGGCCCACCAAGGCGACGAUCCGUAGCUGGUCUGAGAGGAUGAUCAGCCACACUGGAACUGAGACACGGUCCAGACUCCUACGGGAGGCAGCAGUGGGGAAUAUUGGACAAUGGGCGCAAGCCUGAUCCAGCCAUGCCGCGUGGGUGAAGAAGGCCUUCGGGUUGUAAAGCCCUUUUGUUCGGGAAGAAAUCGUACGGGUGAAUAUCCCGUGCGGAUGACGGUACCGGAAGAAUAAGCACCGGCUAACUUCGUGCCAGCAGCCGCGGUAAUACGAAGGGUGCAAGCGUUACUCUGAAUUACUGGGCGUAAAGCCUGCGUAGGGCG
Molecule: ribosomal RNA, 344 nt
Filed under: uncultured Gammaproteobacteria bacterium
Lineage: Bacteria; Pseudomonadati; Pseudomonadota; Gammaproteobacteria
Description: SSU rRNA
Rfam family: Bacterial small subunit ribosomal RNA
Source: RNAcentral